This is a long non-coding RNA of Erpetoichthys calabaricus (reedfish), 584 nucleotides long. RefSeq lists it as uncharacterized. The record is from RefSeq and is a predicted model, not a curated record. NCBI's taxonomy places the organism in Eukaryota, Metazoa, Chordata, Cladistia, Polypteriformes, Polypteridae. The transcript is spliced from 3 exons.
ACUUUUGGCAAGGGCCGAUGGGAAAUGUAGUCAUGGGCGGCUUCCUGGUAAAUAACGUUCCACACGCUCUGCCGUCACAGUACGCAUGUUCAGUUUGGUCGAAAUUAUGAUACGUCAUCAAUCGCGACGGAACCUAGACAUUUCCGUAGGAAGCGCUUUUUUUGUUUUUGUUGUUAUUUUAAAGUGCUAUUUUCUGAAGGAAUGAUAACGCUACACUACUGACGAUUCGGAGUAGUCAAGGAAGAACAAAGGCGAGAUGCUUUCAUUUUUUUUCUCUGAUGCUUCGUAGAUUCAGUGCAAGGAUUUGACUGGACGGCCAUCCAAAGUAUCGGUAUCGUCUAAAGGGUUUGGACGUGGACAGACAGGCAACUAUUUAUUUCGGACCAGACUGAUCAUCAUCUGAGAAGACGAGCCCUGGUGCCAUCAUGGAUUUUGAUGCACUCUACAAAAACGAUUUUGUGAAAGUUUUCAAGAAGGAUUGGAGAAUAGGAAUGAACAAAAUUUUCUGUAAGCCGUGCAGAGUGCUGUGCCGUGGACAGAUCCUCUAUAAGAAGCACUGCAAUACCCUCGGACAUUUAGAGGUG